GACGAAGGAUGCAAGCGUUAUCCGGAUUCAUUGGGUUUAAAGGGUGCGUAGGCGGCCAGAUAAGUCAGUGGUGAAAUCUCCUUGCUUAACAAGGAAACUGCCAUUGAUACUGUUUGGCUUGUAGUAUAGUUGCUGUGGGCGGAAUAUGACAUGUAGUGGUGAAAUACAUAGAGAUGUCAUAGAACACCGAUUGCGAAGGCAGCUCACAAAACUAUAACUGACGCUGAGGCACGAAAG
RNAcentral lists this ribosomal RNA (237 nucleotides) under uncultured bacterium. Its description in RNAcentral is "partial 16S ribosomal RNA". It matches the Rfam family "Bacterial small subunit ribosomal RNA", at positions 524 to 759 of the family's 1533-position model. The record is from RNAcentral.